AUUGUUGCCGACGAACUCGGUGAA
Molecule: small nuclear RNA, 24 nt
Filed under: Arabidopsis thaliana (thale cress)
Lineage: Eukaryota; Viridiplantae; Streptophyta; Magnoliopsida; Brassicales; Brassicaceae
Description: snRNA_02793
Source: RNAcentral